GGAUGUGAGGGCUAUCUGGCUGUGAGAUCUGUUACCCCAUUGAUCGCCAGGGUUGAUUUAGCUGAUCUGGCUGGCUAUGUGGGUGUCCCAUUCCUCCCUCACUGCUCCAUGUGUGUCCUUCCCAAAGAUGCACGCUCGGUUGGAGAGGAUGACCUUCUUCGAUAGAGGAGGACCAUUCUUCGGUCAAGGGUAUAUGAGUGGCUGUGCUCCCAUGACAGAACCUCCAAACAAGCUCUCAAGGUCCAUUUGUAGGAGAAUGUAAAGUGGUCAAGCCUCCAAGACUCCAGAUACAUCCAAAUGAGGUGCUGCAUGUGGCAGUCUGCCUUUCUUU
This is a non-coding RNA of Equus caballus (horse), 331 nucleotides long. NCBI's taxonomy places the organism in Eukaryota, Metazoa, Chordata, Mammalia, Perissodactyla, Equidae. The record is from Rfam.